RNAcentral lists this transfer RNA (73 nucleotides) under Candidatus Kaiserbacteria bacterium RIFOXYD1_FULL_47_14. Its description in RNAcentral is "tRNA-Ile". It matches the Rfam family "tRNA". Rfam says of the family: Transfer RNA (tRNA) molecules are approximately 80 nucleotides in length. Their secondary structure includes four short double-helical elements and three loops (D, anti-codon, and T loops). The record is from RNAcentral. RNAcentral also lists the same sequence under 2 other names. Lineage: Bacteria; Candidatus Kaiseribacteriota.
GCGCGCUUAGCUCAGUUGGUAGAGCGUCCGCCUGAUACGCGGCAGGUCCUAGGUUCGAAUCCUAGAGCGCGCA